Molecule: unclassified non-coding RNA, 499 nt
Filed under: Hevea brasiliensis (rubber tree)
Lineage: Eukaryota; Viridiplantae; Streptophyta; Magnoliopsida; Malpighiales; Euphorbiaceae
Source: RNAcentral
UAAUUCACAAACUGGCAUCUCAUGCCUGUUCUUGGUGAUACGUACGUAUGAUGAAACUGUUCAAUCUAGACUAUGUCUAUCAUGUUAACAUGGCAAAUAGAUACAAUAGGCACAUCCCAAGUGUAUAUGGAUCAACCUAGACAAAAAUUUCUCAUUCAACAAACCACACCAGCCCAAACACAAAACAUCAUCAAUAUGCGUUGGUAGGUAACAGCUCCCUUGUCUUAUAAACAAGAUUUGGCUGUGUUGGAAAACCCUUUAGGAUUAUUUAUCUCUAUCUUGAAUGCACAAGGAGUGACCUUGGUACUCUAUGACUGCGCAAUAUCGAAUAGUUGCCUGAGAAUCUUCAUUUCCUAACAAAAUCAGGCUGAUUAGUGACGGAUCUCACCCAUGCCCAUUUAUGGUCCAUUACGUUAACUUCAUUCUUAGCUUCUGCAACUUCUUUCAAUGGGAUAUAAGCAUAGUUCCCAUUAAUAGGUCCACACACAAAUCCAGUGUA